AGUGAACGCUGGCGGUAGGCCUAACACAUGCAAGUCGAACGGCAGCACAGGAGAGCUUGCUCUCUGGGUGGCGAGUGGCGGACGGGUGAGGAAUACAUCGGAAUCUACUUUUUCGUGGGGGAUAACGUAGGGAAACUUACGCUAAUACCGCAUACGACCUACGGGUGAAAGCAGGGGACCUUCGGGCCGUGCGCGAUUGCAUGAGCCGAUGUCGGAUUAGCUAGUUGGCGGGGUAACGGCCCACCAAGGCGACGAUCCGUAGCUGGUCUGAGAGGAUGAUCAGCCACACUGGAACUGAGACACGGUCCAGACUCCUACGGGAGGCAGCAGUGGGGAAUAUUGGACAAUGGGCGCAAGCCUGAUCCAGCCAUACCGCGUGGGUGAAGAAGGCCUUCGGGUUGUAAAGCCCUUUUGUUGGGAAAGAAAUCCAGCUGGUUAAUACCCGGUUGGGAUGACGGUACCCAAAGAAUAAGCACCGGCUAACUUCGUGCCAGCCGCCGCCGUAA
RNAcentral lists this ribosomal RNA (506 nucleotides) under uncultured bacterium. RNAcentral describes it as "partial 16S ribosomal RNA". It matches the Rfam family "Bacterial small subunit ribosomal RNA", at positions 29 to 523 of the family's 1533-position model. The record is from RNAcentral.